AUUGAACGCUGGCGGCAUGCUUUACACAUGCAAGUCGAACGGCAGCGCGGGCUUCGGCCUGGCGGCGAGUGGCGAACGGGUGAGUAAUACAUCGGAACGUGCCCAGUAGUGGGGGAUAGCUCGGCGAAAGCCGGAUUAAUACCGCAUACGACCUGAGGGUGAAAGCGGGGGAUCUUCGGACCUCGCGCUAUUUGAUCGGCCGAUGGCAGAUUAGCUAGUUGGUGGGGUAAAGGCCUACCAAGGCGACGAUCUGUAGCUGGUCUGAGAGGACGACCAGCCACAAUGGGAAUGGGAAAAGGGCCAGAAUCCUAAGGGAGGCAGGAGUGGGGAAAUUUUGGAAAUGGGGGAAAACCUGAACCAAGAAAGGCGCGGGGGGGAAGAAGGGCUUUGGGUUGUAAAACCCUUUUUGGGGGGAAGAAAAAGAAUGGGGGAAAAACCACGGUUCGAGAAGGGAACCCAAAAAAAAAACACGGGUAAAUAAGGG
RNAcentral lists this ribosomal RNA (484 nucleotides) under uncultured bacterium. RNAcentral's name for it is "partial 16S ribosomal RNA". It matches the Rfam family "Bacterial small subunit ribosomal RNA", at positions 29 to 507 of the family's 1533-position model. The record is from RNAcentral.